ACUACUAACCCCGCAGAUGGUAGGAAUGUGGAAACACAUUGUGAAACAUGUCAGACCUAAAGAAGAAGUUGAGACCAUUCGGAAAAACAUUUUACUUAACCAGUUAAAACAAGACAAAAUGUCGGGGGAAAAAUAAAGGAAAAUUCACAAAAAGAAUCAAUCAGAUUUCCCAAAUUGAGACUUUCAAGCAUUAUGAAAACUCAGCAAAUAGGAUAGAGGCCAACAAAGCUGAAAUUAAAUCCUUGACUAGUAAAUGUGAGGAUUUGAAUGCAGAAUUAAAACGAAUGGGUAAAGUUCAGCAGGAAGCUGGAAAAAAAGUGUAUGAUGACCAAACGAAAAUCGCGCUCCUGCAGGAGAAGGAGGCACAGUUCAGAAAACUUCUCAAAUUAAAAGAUUCCAUCGAUCAAGUAAAAUGGCUGAUUCCUCAACAAGAAACGAAAUCGAGAAUUAUGGGAAGAUUCCAACCAAAAUAUAGUAGUUCACCGCUGUUCCAAACCUCAAACAGAAGCAUCUUGACAGAAAAGCAAACAGCUGACGUUCUGGAUUCGCUUCAUGGUCUUGAUUUCACAAUUAUGGAAGAACUUGAAAGAACUCCAACAGACUCCAAUGAAGAUGAGGAACGAAAAAGUAAACUCCACCUGCAUAUUUCUAACAUUGGCAGAAACCUCUCACCCUCAGCACUAUUAGCAGGUUUAACUUUGAAGCUGAAGACAUUGAAUCAAGAAUUAGUCGUUGCUGCCACGUCCCAAAACGUUGGAGAAGAAUAUUCUGCAUUCAAAAUUUGUCAAGAAGAAUCGGUUUUAUAUCAACAAUGUCAGUGGUCUCAAUGUUCCAAAGAAGAGUCUCACUAUUUCACUAUCAUAUUCUCAAAAACCCUAAAAAAAAGCAAAAAUUUCCCUGAAACACAUAUGGUCACAUCUCAGAGGAGAGAAGUUGAACUUAUCGGAGGUAAAAAUCUAGAUGAUCAAUUAAAGGAUUUUUGGAAAUUGAUAGCGGAAGAUAAGCAAAAGUUAGAAGAGAUUCAGAACUCAGUAGCGCAAAAACGAGAGGAGCUGAUAAGAAGAAAACAUAUGGUUGUUGACGCAGUUAUGAAAUCAGUCGGAGGACUCUCAGAAGAAGAUGCCGCAGAGUGGGUUGACUCCGUUGUCAACUAUUCAUUGGUGACUGAGAGGAUUAAGUUUCUGGAAAAAGAAAACGAUGCCUUGGAGCUACAAAUCUUGCGUUCAGAAGAUUCGAAGGACCUUUACUUUGAGAUGGAACAUGCUACAUUGGAGGCAGAACAAAAAAUUAAAUCUCUGCUGAAAAGCCUAGAAACAAGCCUUCUUCACCUCAAAAAAAACUCUGUGAUGAUUGAUAUCGAAGCUUCCAAACAGAAAAUAGUAUCAAAAAUUAAAAGCUUCCAAAAAAAAGAGCUGGCUCAAAAAUGGCUUCCUGAUAGUGACGAUCCGCUGUUGAGUUUGAAAGAUUUUAUCCAAUCAGAAGUAUCCUUGCUCGUCAGAAUACCAGUCGAAGCCUUGCAACUAGUUUGCGAGCCACAACACAUCACAAACAAUGUACCUUGCUUACCCAUGUACACCCCAUAUACAGCGGCUCAUUGUAUCCUUAGGAAUGUUCUUGAAAAUUUGUGCUGGAGUAAUAUGUCUCUCAAUGCGCUAGAAGAACUGAUGCCAUCACCUCCAAUAGAUUUCAAUGUGGACCAUCUAAUUGAAAGCACCAAGUCGUUAGAGCUAAACAACCGGUUGAAGUUGGAAGAACGCAUCUCUGAAUUUGAAGAAAUAUGCAAUGAAGGAGAACAGAAUAUUCAGCAGGCCACUGAGUUGAUACGCUUUUUGAAACAACCACCUGUAGAGAACUUCAUACCAGAGUCCAUGAUAUUAGAUGGCCUUAAUUUCAAUUCGUGGAAGCCAAUAAUCCUAAAGUAUCUUGAGGAAAAAUUCCUAGUAUAAUAUAUAAGAGCCCCAGUGAUCUCCUGUUUUUAAGUAUUAAUUUAAUUUUUACCAGUGUCUUGUUGAUUUGUUAAAGGUUUUCCAAUAUUUUGUAAAUUUUUUUUUUGUAAUUUUGUAAGACUGUUUUAAUUUUUUAGAUUGUUUAAUUUUGUGUCAAUUUUGUUUACUAUUUUCGACCAAUGUCACUAAGAAUCAGGUAUUUUUAAUAAAACUUCAUUUUGCAGGCAUUAUUUUGUGUAUGUAUUUCUAGUCUAGGUACUUCAUAUCAAAAAACCAACAGUAGGAUUAAAAUUUAGGCGCUGGAUGCGAGAAGGGUUUUUCUCCUUUACAAUGUUUCAGAAUCGCAACUAAUACUAUACUCAUGGAAAGGGAAGCAAUUGCAUGAAUUUCAUUAAAAAAUUUCCUGAAUAUUCUUCAUGAUUUAGCUAUGUUCUGCAAAAAAAAAUUCCCGAUAAAUCACCCAUUAAAUUCUUCACCGAGACAUAAAUUAGUGACAAGAGACUCUGAAACUCUACAUCUGAGAAAUACCCUCUUCGCACCAAGCACUCUAAUUAACAAGUACAGGGAAAGUCAGAAAAUUUUACUCAACCACUAUGACUGAAGACAAAUUCUGGGCAGGAACUGCUUACUUCAACCUUAAAUAGUCUAUACUUGUACAGAGAUUAGUAUGGAGGAACCAAGAUGUGAUUAGCUGAAACAGA
RNAcentral lists this long non-coding RNA (2647 nucleotides) under Bemisia tabaci. Its description in RNAcentral is "lncRNA ENSSSA2NGG000820". Lineage: Eukaryota; Metazoa; Arthropoda; Insecta; Hemiptera; Aleyrodidae. The record is from RNAcentral.